Molecule: ribosomal RNA, 439 nt
Filed under: uncultured bacterium
Lineage: Bacteria
Description: bacterial SSU rRNA
Rfam family: Bacterial small subunit ribosomal RNA
Source: RNAcentral
AACGCGAAGAACCUUACCAGGCCUUGACAUGCACUGGACCGGCGCUGAAAGGCGCUCUCCCCGCAAGGGGCCGGUGCACAGGUGCUGCAUGGCUGUCGUCAGCUCGUGUCGUGAGAUGUUGCGUUAAGUCGCGCAACGAGCGCAACCCCUGUCCUUAGUUGCCACCAUUCAGUUGGGCACUCUAGGGAGACAAACCCUCUUUGAGGGUGGGAAGGUGGGGAUGACGUCAAGUCAGGAUGGCCCUUACGGCCUGGGCUGCACACGUGCUACAAUGCCCGAUACAGAGGGAAGCAAGACCGCGAGGUGGAGCAAAUCCUCAAAAUCGGGCCCAGUUCAGAUUGUAGUCUGCAACUCGACUACAUGAAGCCGGAAUCGCUAGUAAUGGCGUAUCAGCUACGACGCCGUGAAUACGUUCCCGGGCCUUGUACACACCGGCUAC